CGUAAAACGUCCGUGGCGCGAAACACAUACGUACGGUAUUAUUACCAUAAUGACGUACAGCUAUGAUGUAUGCGUAUUUUUUCUGUGUGUUUUAUAUUCAACAAAUAUCCGCAAGUUAUUCGCUCGGCUGCAGUGUUUCCCUACCUUUGGUCCCGCGAAACAUUGCGCGGCGGCCCGCGCGACGCACCUUCAAGACCGAGCAAAUUAUUUCGCAUAGAGCGGUUUAUACAGUGUUUGGCGGGGUU
Non-coding RNA from Cinara cedri, 245 nucleotides. NCBI's taxonomy places the organism in Eukaryota, Metazoa, Arthropoda, Insecta, Hemiptera, Aphididae. The record is from the annotation of a GenBank genome assembly.